This 255-nucleotide ribosomal RNA is filed under the name uncultured bacterium. Its description in RNAcentral is "partial 16S ribosomal RNA". It matches the Rfam family "Bacterial small subunit ribosomal RNA", at positions 1233 to 1500 of the family's 1533-position model. The record is from RNAcentral.
CGUGGUACGAAUAGCGAAGCGAAGCAGUGAUGUGAAGCAAAUCGCNCCAAAGCCAGUCCCAGUUCGGAUAAGAGGCUGAAACUCGCCUCUUUGAAGUCGGAAUCGCUAGUAAUCGCAGAUCAGCAUGUUGCGGUGAAUACGUUCCCGGGUCUUGUACACACCGCCCGUCAAACCAUGAGAGUCACCAACACCCGAAGUCCGCCUUGGCGGCCUAAGGUGAGGGAGAUGAUUGGGGUUAAGUCGUAACAAGGUAAC